RNAcentral lists this non-coding RNA (224 nucleotides) under Bacillus sp. (in: firmicutes). RNAcentral's name for it is "Bacillus sp. T-box sequence". It matches the Rfam family "T-box leader". From Rfam's summary of the family: Uncharged tRNA acts as the effector for transcription antitermination of genes in the T-box leader family. T-boxes are found upstream of many aminoacyl-tRNA synthetase genes and some amino acid biosynthetic genes usually in Gram-positive bacteria. Lineage: Bacteria; Bacillati; Bacillota; Bacilli; Caryophanales; Bacillaceae. The record is from RNAcentral.
AACAUUGCUUUGAUAAGGACAUGAAUCAUACUUUAUUUUCUUCCAGAGAACAGGGUCAUUGGCUGUAAGCCCUGUAGAAAAAUGUUUGAUUUACCACCUUUGAGCUUUUAUGGGGAAAAGCCUUGCUUAGUAUCCAUAAACGGGAAAACCGUUAUCUUUAUGAGCGUAAAGUAGAUUUUGCUUUGCGAAAUUAGGGUGGCACCACGACCGCACUCGUCCCUUUG